CGUAGCCGACCUGAGAGGGUGAUCGGCCACACUGGAACUGAGACACGGUCCAGACUCCUACGGGAGGCAGCAGUAGGGAAUCUUCCGCAAUGGGCGAAAGCCUGACGGAGCAACGCCGCGUGAGUGAUGAAGGUCUUCGGAUCGUAAAGCUCUGUUGUUAGGGAAGAACAAAUGUGUAAGUAACUAUGCACAUCUUGACGGUACCUAACCAGAAAGCCACGGCUAACUACGUGCCAGCAGCCGCGGUAAUACGUAGGUGGCAAGCGUUAUCCGGAAUUAUUGGGCGUAAAGCGCGCGUAGGCGGUUUUUUAAGUCUGAUGUGAAAGCCCACGGCUCAACCGUGGAGGGUCAUUGGAAACUGGAAAACUUGAGUGCAGAAGAGGAAAGUGGAAUUCCAUGUGUAGCGGUGAAAUGCGCAGAGAUAUGGAGGAACACCAGUGGCGAAGGCGGCUUUCUGGUCUGUAACUGACGCUGAUGUGCGAAAGCGUGGGGAUCAAACAGGAUUAGAUACCCUGGUAGUCCACGCCGUAAACGAUGAGUGCUAAGUGUUAGGGGGUUUCCGCCCCUUAGUGCUGCAGCUAACGCAUUAAGCACUCCGCCUGGGGAGUACGGUCGCAAGACUGAAACUCAAAGGAAUUGACGGGGACCCGCACAAGCGGUGGAGCAUGUGGUUUAAUUCGAAGCAACGCGAAGAACCUUACCAAAUCUUGACAUCUUUUGACCACUCUAGAGAUAGAGUUUUCCUCUUCGGAGGACAAAAUGACAGGUGGUGCAUGGUUGUCGUCAGCUCGUGUCGUGAGAUGUUGGGUUAAGUCCCGCAACGAGCGCAACCCUUGAGCUUAGUUGCCAUCAUUAAGUUGGGCACUCUAAGUUGACUGCCGGUGACAAACCGGAGGAAGGUGGGGAUGACGUCAAAUCAUCAUGCCCCUUAUGAUUUGGGCUACACACGUGCUACAAUGGACAAUACAAAGGGCAGCAAAACCGCGAGGUCAAGCAAAUCCCAUAAAGUUGUUCUCAGUUCGGAUUGUAGUCUGCAACUCGACUACAUGAAGCUGGAAUCGCUAGUAAUCGUAGAUCAGCAUGCUACGGUGAAUACGUUCCCGGGUCUUGUACACACCGCCCGUCACACCACGAGAGUUUGUAACACCCGAAGCCGGUGGAGUAACCAUUUGGAGCUAGCCGUCGAAGGUGGGACAAAUGAUUGGGGUGAAGUCGUAACAAGGUAGCCGUAUCGGAAGGUGCGGCUGGAUCACCUCCUUU
This 1260-nucleotide ribosomal RNA is filed under the name Staphylococcus chromogenes. RNAcentral's name for it is "bacterial SSU rRNA". It matches the Rfam family "Bacterial small subunit ribosomal RNA", at positions 282 to 1533 of the family's 1533-position model. Lineage: Bacteria; Bacillati; Bacillota; Bacilli; Caryophanales; Staphylococcaceae. The record is from RNAcentral.